UCGUACCGUCGUCGUGGCUCGUACCGUCGUCGUGUCUCGUACCGUCGUCGUAGUUCGUACCGUCGUCGUGGCUCGUACGAUCGCCGCUGAACAUAUAAAUGAUCCCGUUCAAGACCAAAUAAACUUGACAAGGAAUCUGAACAAGAAACACUGUGUAUCCACUAGAUUAUCCAUUCUAAGGUUAAGGGAAAAACUGGGUUUAGUUGCCGAUGCAGUGACUUUUGGGACCCUUUUAGGGAACGAAACAGACGCCAUCUUGGAAAUAUGCUCCCUAAAACUGUCCAACUGCAAUCCCAAUUAAACCCAGUGAUUUUCUCAACCUAAGAAUGCCUAAUAGCAUCAAACCCAAGUUAUGAGAAAAAAUAUUCUAAAACUA
Molecule: long non-coding RNA, 376 nt
Organism: Actinia tenebrosa (Australian red waratah sea anemone)
Lineage: Eukaryota; Metazoa; Cnidaria; Anthozoa; Actiniaria; Actiniidae
Source: RefSeq, a predicted model, not a curated record